RNAcentral lists this small nuclear RNA (103 nucleotides) under Castor canadensis (American beaver). Lineage: Eukaryota; Metazoa; Chordata; Mammalia; Rodentia; Castoridae. The record is from RNAcentral.
AAAUGUUAAAUGCUCAUGUACUAAAUUGAGAAUGACACAGAGGAAAUUAGCAUGGCACCUGUGCGAGGAUACCAUACAGAUUUGUCAAACAUUCCAUAUUUUU